AGGCACAUUCUAAGUCUGUGGAUAGCCGCUUUUCCCCUGGUAAUGUGAGUGCUGUGUGUAUCUACAAGCAUCUGUCUACAACCCUCUUCCCCUUUGAUCACCAAAACCCUUUCUGCAUUCUGACUAGCAGUACCUUCCCCUUUUAACUUAAAAGCGACCAUCUCCCUGCAAAUGGGACAAAUAAGAGAUCUGAAACUGAGCUACGUUGUAAAUCCCACACGUGCAACCUCAAGCAUCUGAUUCACUUAGGCCAUCGUAGAGGCUCUGGUAGGUCUCUGAAUUAGUCAGCGGAGAACACUUUGCGUGAGAAGCUGGAGGUCUGCUACAAACUCUCUGAGUGAAAUGAGAAUGGUACCUGCCCUCACUCUCGUGCGGAUACUGCUGUCACUGGGGAAUGGGGGGGUGUUGGCUGGCCUGGUCAUCACUCGCCCCAAGCUGGAGGCUGGCUUAGGGGACUCUGUCCUGCUGGAAUGUUUCUUCCAAAGCCUGGUGCCAGGGGACUGGAAGGUGACCAAAGUGGACUGGAUACAUGUGCCAGAAAAUAAUACUCAGGCGGAGGAGAUGGUCUUCUACUACUACAGUAAUCACAGCAUUCCUGUGGGACGCUUCCAGCACCGAGUGCAGUGGUGGGGGGAUGUGGCCCGCAAGGACGGCUCUGUGAGGAUGCAGGAUGUGCAGGCGGACGACAGCGGGACGUACGCCUGCGAGAUCCGGGUGUUUGGGCGGAGCAGCGUCUUCAAAAACUACACCGUGCUGCACGUGGCCUCUGCCGGACGGAGAUGGUCCGGAUUUGCAGUGGCCCAGGACUCCAAGAGCACCAGUAGCAGUGGCUGGGGGGCCAUCCUGGCUUACGUCUGUGCGACCACCUUCCUGGCCCUCUUGUUGGGAUAUGGGCUGAAGAAGUUUCUCCAGAGGCAGAGACGUACGGAGAACGGGCCCCUGUCGAGGAGUCGGGAUGGCGGCAGUCGGGAUGAAGCAGAGGAAGGCAUUUACUCCCUCAUACCCUGUGCGGAGACACUCAAGGCUGGGCAGGAGGCAGAGCUGUGGAGCAGAAAGGACAUGACCUACAUGACCAUGCACCCCUCUGCCGCUUUCCCUGGGGCGGACACUGCACUGCUGGAGAACAACGUGUACGUCCAGCUGCAGAGGAAGAAGAUCCCAGUGGAAUGGCUGGAUGAGGGGAGACUGGGCUAUGAAGGAGCCCAAGAAAGCAAGAAAACCUGUGAAAAGUCCAACUGUCCAGCGGAGGAAUUCCCUUGCCCCCUGGACUGGGGGAAACCACCUCUGAGCCCAGCCUGGCAUGACAGCCAGGGACAUUGACCUCUCCCAGGGACAAACUCUACCCACUCCGUCAGCAUACCGCAGGGCUGGUUUGUCCAUACAGGGUAUGGGCCGUAUCACUCUAGCUGUCCAGGUUAUAAUCUAUUUGUGCUGUGACAGCACCUGCCAGCCCCAGCCAGGAUCGGGCCCCAUUGUGCCCAGCGCUGUGUAGACUUGCGGCUCCUUGAGGAUGUUUUCGAAAGGGUGACCCCAUGCUCUGAUGGGGUUGCUGCUGUUUUUGCGACUGCGCCGUGAGCCCAGCACGGCCUGGCCUGCACACAGGGCAGUGGGAGGGCACGUCUUGCUACCUGGGGCAGGCCAGGAGUGGGGCACAGGAGGGCGAUGAAGAUAAAUGGACUUUGCUCUGGUUUCACCCUCAUUCUGUGGGCGGGACAGUGCCCUGUGGCAGAGCUUCCACUCUCCAGCUGGGAUAUUGGUCAAUGCCGUCAAAACCCAGCGAGAGAGAACUCCAGGGAGAGUCCCACCUCCAGACGAGGAGGAGGAGGUGAUCGGGUGUUGGGUGCCCUGCAGCUGCCUGAGCUGGCCUGCUUCCUGGGCACCUAGCGGGCUCUGGGCUGCCAGCCUGGCACCUUCCACCAGAGCCACAUGGGAAACAAGCAAACCGACGUGCGGGGGAAAUAGUUCAGUUGAACUGUAGCAAACCCAGUGCUCUGUGUGUGUAAAUAGAUGUGCACCACCACCCCCUACACGUGUUUGUGUCUCCACUUCUACACUUGCAAUAACUAGGAAUAUUCUUCACUCUGUUCUACCUGGACAAAAUCUGCACCUGAGGUUCCAAGUUACUGGCAAAAAUGGGACUGGUUCAGCCCCUUAUUUCUGAGUGGGUCAGCUCCGCUCCCUGCCCUGUCCUGGUCUCUUUCCUUGCGCGGGGGUUAAAACCCUGCCCCCAGAGCUCUGCCAGAGGCCUCUGGCUCAGCCUCUGCUGGGGCCAGCUCUCCCUCCAGGCUCCUUCGAUAGAUGUUUGACGCCUCCACGUGCAGUGACCUGAGAUGGGCUCCUCCAUUCCUGGAGAGAAAGGGGGACCACUCACUGCGCUUAGCCAGGGCGCUGGCACGUGGGCCAAUGCAGCAAAAGUUGCUGUAUGCUGCAGUCGUUUGUUUCACAUUGCCACCCCACUCGUUUUCUGUUGGUGAGGCAGAAUAACCGGAGCGAGGGGCUUCAAUAUGCCAACAAAUUUUUAUUGAAGUUGAAACAAAUAUAAGGCUGUAAGUAAUGACUAAGGGCCUGUUAUGUCAGAGCUAACGGUGCCCCAGACAGGAAUGCUUGGGGUUAUUCACUGUAGCUGGGAGACUUCAUGCUACACAAGCAAUCGAUCUACUUUGUGAUUUUAGUAUAUAAUAAUCCUGUACUUUAAUGAAUAAUCUGAUACUUCAGGUGCAUUCUCUCUGGCAGGGUCACGAGGUACUUUACAAACUAUACAUGGUUUUCAGCCCCCCACCUUGUGUGUGUGCGUGCGCGCGCUUCCCUGUUCGUGUCUCACCGUUUUGCUAACCUGAUUUCAGGGUGAGUCUCAUGCUAUUUGGUGUUUGUCUUGAAGCCCCGGCGCUGGGAUUCCUGUCACUAUGUGAGACUCUCAGCUCUCGUUUAACAAGAGAGAACUUCUAGCCCUCAUGGUUGCAAAGAAAAGCUUGAAAAUGUGACCCAAGUGCAACCUAAAGGCUCAGACACUUGAAGGCAAAGAAAACAAAACCCAACCCCAAAUCUCACAACUUCUAAUCCAAUCUCAUGAUUUUGGGGGCCCGAUUUGUGACUUUCGACUGCGUGGGCCUGGCACCGCUGUCCGAUGUUGCCAGCGUGUCAGUUCAUGGCCGUUUCCCUGCCUGCCGCGCUGAGCAAUGGACUGUUUCCAGCAUAAGGGCAAGGAAGGAGCAGCACCCCUCCAGCCGGCCAUAUUGGAGGUUGGGAAAUAAAGCAGCUCUAAAAUUAUGUGUGUCUUGGAAAUAACCCAGUGCACCUGAAAAAGACAAAGCCAAACAGCAGCAACAAAAACCAGCCACAACAAACACCAAAAUCUUCGCCAUACACAAAGGUG
Molecule: RNA transcript, 3373 nt
Organism: Chelonia mydas (Green sea turtle)
Lineage: Eukaryota; Metazoa; Chordata; Testudines; Cheloniidae
Gene: JAML
Gene name: junction adhesion molecule like
Exons: 9
Source: RefSeq, a predicted model, not a curated record